This 253-nucleotide ribosomal RNA is filed under the name uncultured bacterium. RNAcentral describes it as "partial 16S ribosomal RNA". It matches the Rfam family "Bacterial small subunit ribosomal RNA", at positions 524 to 776 of the family's 1533-position model. The record is from RNAcentral.
UACGUAGGCAGCGAGCGUUGUUCGGAAUUACUGGGCGUAAAGAGUGUGUAGGCGGUGUUCCCAGUCUGUUGUGAAAUCUCCCGGCUUAACUGGGAGGGUGCAGCGGAAACUAGAAUGCUAGAGGGUGGGAGAGGUAAGCGGAAUUCCUGGUGUAGCGGUGAAAUGCGUAGAUAUCAGGAGGAACACCUGUGGUGUAGACAGCUUACUGGACCACUUCUGACGCUGAUGCACGAAAGCUGGGGGAGCAAACAGG